Molecule: ribosomal RNA, 466 nt
Filed under: uncultured bacterium
Lineage: Bacteria
Description: partial 16S ribosomal RNA
Rfam family: Bacterial small subunit ribosomal RNA
Source: RNAcentral
GAUGAACGCUGGCGGCGUGCUUAACACAUGCAAGUCGAACGAUGAAGCCCAGCUUGCUGGGUGGAUUAGUGGCGAACGGGUGAGUAACACGUGAGUAACCUGCCCUUGACUCUGGGAUAAGCCUGGGAAACUGGGUCUAAUACUGGAUAUGACUUCUCCUCGCAUGGUGGGGGGUGGAAAGAUUUAGUGGUCUUGGGUGGACUCGCGGCCUAUCCGCUUGUUGGGGGGGUAUUGGCUCACCAAGGCGACGACGGGUAGCCGGCCUGGGAGGGUGACCGGCCACACUGGGACUGAGACACGGCCCAGACUCCUACGGGAGGCAGCAGUGGGGAAUAUUGCACAAUGGGCGCAAGCCUGAUGCAGCGACGCCGCGUGAGGGAUGACGGCCUUCGGGUUGUAAACCUCUUUCAGUAGGGAAGAAGCGAGAGUGACGGUACCUGCAGAAGAAGCGCCGGCUAACUACGUG